CGCGAAUAGCUCAUUACAACAGCUAUAAUUUACUUGAUCUUGACACUAUCCUACUUGGAUAACUGUGGUAAUUCUAGAGCUAAUACAUGCAUUAAAGCUCUGACCUUCGGGAAAGAGUGCAUUUAUUAGAACAAAACCAAGCGGCUUCGGCUGUUUUCGGUUGACUCAUAGUAACUGAGCUGAUCGCACGGUCUUGCACCGGCGACGUGUCUUUCAAGUAUCUGCCGUAUCAACUUUCGAUGGUAGUGUAUCUGACUACCAUGGUGAUCACGCGUAACGGAGAAUAAGGGUUCGGCUCCGGAGAGUUCGCCUGAGAAAUCGCGAACACAUCUAAGGAAGGCAGCAGGCGCGAAAGUUACCCACUCUCAGCACGAGGAGGUAGUGACGAAAAAUAACGAGACCGUUCUCUUUCGAGGCGGUCAUCGGAAUGGGUACAAUUUAAACCCUUUAACGAGUAUCUAUGUGAGGGCAAGUCUGGUGCCAGCAGCCGCGGUAAUUCCAGCU
This 504-nucleotide ribosomal RNA is filed under the name Cervidellus alutus. RNAcentral describes it as "SSU rRNA". It matches the Rfam family "Eukaryotic small subunit ribosomal RNA", at positions 88 to 590 of the family's 1831-position model. The record is from RNAcentral. Lineage: Eukaryota; Metazoa; Nematoda; Chromadorea; Rhabditida; Cephalobidae.